GUUGAAACACUGAUUCCCGUAUGAUCAUCGAAGUUAAGCAACGUCGAACCUGGCCAGUACCUAGAUGGGUAACCGCUUCGGAAUACCAGGUACUGUAAG
Acanthosepion pharaonis is the source of this 99-nucleotide non-coding RNA. The record is from the annotation of a GenBank genome assembly. Lineage: Eukaryota; Metazoa; Mollusca; Cephalopoda; Sepiida; Sepiidae.